Molecule: long non-coding RNA, 1108 nt
Organism: Triplophysa rosa
Lineage: Eukaryota; Metazoa; Chordata; Actinopteri; Cypriniformes; Nemacheilidae
Exons: 3
Source: RefSeq, a predicted model, not a curated record
GUCAUUGGUUGACUCCCCGUGCUGCUUUGAGCACGAUUGGUUAAUCUGACUGUCAUUCAGGAAACUAGCCAAUUAGAGCUGUUCGCGCCCUUCACUGGUUCAUUUUGAACAUACGCGAUGAGGUGAUGUCUGUCAGUUAGUUUCAGUAGUCUUGAUGGUCCAGUUAUAUGUAAACAGCGCUUAAGACACGAAGUCGUGUGGGAGUUGCAGGCUGCUGGAGAAUAAUCACACGCAUUAACAGCUUUACCAGCGACCAGCAGAAGUACACAGAAAUAUAUGAUAAGAUUUGCCUGGGCAGUACACACACCUGAUGAAGGGAAGAAAAGCUACCCAGGCACCCAAACUCCAUCAGUAGUAAGUGUUUAAACAUUCGACCUGAGUAUUUGUAUUAUGUUGUUAUUAACAAAUGUGUAAUAUUAUGUAUGCUUAAUACUGUUAUAAUGUAACUCUGUAACCGUUUGGGUUACGUAUUUCUUGGGUUAAAACAUAACACAAUAAGGGACUUUUUAUUAACUCUUACAAUAACAAUCACGUACAGUUAAACAUUUACAUCAUUUGUGAAAGAAAAAUUGUCCAUUCCUUUAAACUGGUGACUUGUUUUGCUGAUUUAAUGGUGGAAGUUAUAAGACUUACAUUUAAGUUAGCAUUGUAACUUGUUUUCUAACAGUAUACUCUGUAUUCACAUUGCCGUAAUGUAUAAUGAUGGCAGAUUUAGUCCUUUAUCUAACGUUACUACAUUGCAUAUUUGCCACAGACUCAUUUACUUUUUUGUGGUAUGUUUUUACUUAUGGUAUGAUUUACUUAUUCUGACAGUUUGAUGUUUGUCCAAAUAUACUAUCAAAACUUCCUCCGAUACCUUUUUGUGACCCUGUGUAAAUGUUUUCAACACCACUUGAAACUGUUGUAUUUCUCCAGGAUUAAAAGUUUGUUUUAUAAGAAUUUGAUGAAUGUAUUGUAUGGGGAUGUACUUAUUAUUUAUUUAUUAUAUUCAACCAUUUGUUUAAAGCGUAUACUGUAAUUCUGUACUGUAAAGAAGUUAAUCAUUGUGUAUUUCGAGUGUACAUUUACAAAUUAUGGUGAUUGUGUUCAUAUGAUUCAUAUGUUUACC